UACGUAGGGUGCAAGCGUUAAUCGGAAUUACUGGGCGUAAAGCGUGCGCAGGCGGUUGUGCAAGACCGAUGUGAAAUCCCCGGGCUUAACCUGGGAAUGGCAUUGGUGACUGCACGGCUAGAGUGUGUCAGAGGGGGGUAGAAUUCCACGUGUAGCAGUGAAAUGCGUAGAGAUGUGGAGGAAUACCGAUGGCGAAGGCAGCCCCCUGGGCCUGCACUGACGCUCAUGCACGAAAGCGUGGGGAGCAAACAGG
Molecule: ribosomal RNA, 253 nt
Filed under: uncultured bacterium
Lineage: Bacteria
Description: partial 16S ribosomal RNA
Rfam family: Bacterial small subunit ribosomal RNA
Source: RNAcentral